RNAcentral lists this ribosomal RNA (844 nucleotides) under uncultured Fusobacteriota bacterium. RNAcentral's name for it is "bacterial SSU rRNA". It matches the Rfam family "Bacterial small subunit ribosomal RNA", at positions 28 to 896 of the family's 1533-position model. The record is from RNAcentral. Lineage: Bacteria; Fusobacteriati; Fusobacteriota.
GAUGGACUGGACAGAAUGCUUAACACAGGCAAGUCUGACUUGAUCCCUUCGGGUGAAAGUUGCGNACGGUUGAGUAACGCGUAAAGAACUUGCCUUACAGACUGGGACAACAAUUUGGGAACGAAUGCUAAUACCGGAUAUUAUGACUGAGUCGCAUGAUUUAGUUAUGAAAGCUAUAUGCCUGUGAGAGAGCUUUGCGUCCCAUUAGUUAUUGUGAGGUAACGGCUCACCAAGACGAUGAUGGGUAGCCGGCCUGAGAGGGUGAACGGCCACAAGGGGACUGAGACACGGCCCUUACUCCUACGGGAGGCAGCAGUGGGGAAUAUUGGACAAUGGACCAAAAGUCUGAUCCAGCAAUUCUGUGUGCACGAUGAAGUUUUUCGGAAUGUAAAGUGCUUUCAGUUGGGAAGAAGUCAGUGACGGUACCAACAGAAGAAGCGACGGCUAAAUACGUGCCAGCAGCCGCGGUAAUACGUAUGUCGCAAGCGUUAUCCGGAUUUAUUGGGCGUAAAGCGCGUCUAGGCGGUUUAGUAAGUCUGAUGUGAAAAUGCGGGGCUCAACCCCGUAUUGCGUUGGAAACUGCUAAACUAGAGUACUGGAGAGGUAGGCGAAACUACAAGUGUAGAGGUGAAAUUCGUAGAUAUUUGUAGGAAUGCCGAUGGGGAAGCCAGCCUACUGGACAGAUACUGACGCUAAAGCGCGAAAGCGUGGGUAGCUAAACUAGGAUUAGAUACCCUGGUAGUCCACGCCGUAAACGAUGAUUACUAGGUGUUGGGGGUCGAACUCUCAGCGCCCUAAGCUAACGCGAUAAGUAAUCCGCCUGGGGAGUACGUACGCAAGUAUG